Molecule: long non-coding RNA, 1715 nt
Filed under: Homo sapiens (human)
Lineage: Eukaryota; Metazoa; Chordata; Mammalia; Primates; Hominidae
Description: non-protein coding lnc-TBL1X-3:1
Source: RNAcentral
AAAUAUACCCACACUUCUCGGCCUCUUGCCAACCCUUUUAUAAUCAGCUCCUAAACAGCCUUUGGAAGCAGAUUUUAGGGAAGGCUAAAAAGUAGGGGAAGUGCUCCAACUUGUGUUGCUGUGGCAACUUCUACAGAAGCUCAGAUACACUUGCUCUGCUUCAUGAAUGCCGCUUUACUUCUUAAAAUAUCGAUUUCCAUGGUGCAGAGAUGCAAUUAGUCAGGUCUGUAAAGGAGGAGGGUUUUUUUCUCUCUCUUAGAUGCUGGAAGGUCAGGUUGAAAUGAAACCUUUUCAUCGAUAUAAUAACAGUGGAGCUUAAAAAGCUAUUCCAGGUGUGCUUGGAUGGAGCAAUGGGUGGUGUGUAUGAAGGCAUCCCACCCCAAAGACCAAAGCUGUCAGAGACCACCUGAAGACAAUCAUUUGAAGGGGGCAGGGGUGGGUGUCAUUACAAUGUGGUACUUAGCAGGCAAGCCAAGAAAGCCGCCUAGGAAAUCCAUUCUGUGGCACUUUGGGUGGUUCAUAGAACGCUUUUAGGUUGCCUGUACAACUUAUGAGGCUCUGUGGUCCUAGUCCCUGACAACUGUUGGGCCGGCAACAGGUACCGAACAUUCGUUCUCUACAGGACAGGAUGAAAUGUCCAGUGGGUGCUGCCGGCAGAAGAAGAGGGAAGCACAAUGCCUGACCUCAGGAAUUGCAUCAUAAAAUGGAAGAAAAGCACAAAUAAAUGACACGAAAACAUGCAUUGCAAAAAGACAUCCUACUUCCUCCCCAUCCUCUUCAUCCAUUACAUCACUGCCAAAGAGGCCUUCUAAAAUGCACCACAGAAUCCUUUCCAGGAACCAGCAAUAGCCUCUUAUUACCUACAGAAUAAAAUUGCAUUCAUCUGGGUAAAAUUCUAAGCUUUCUUUCAUGUGGCCCCAACUAUAUUAUCAUCAUUUUUCUUCUGCGUGCCUUCUCCAACUGCCUGCUGCCGUAUUGUUUCUGCAUUGGCUUUCCCACAUUGCCUUUGACCUUCUCCAACUUGGCAAAUGUACUCAGCCUUCAAGGAUGACGUCUGACUCCACCUCUUCCAAGAAGCCAACCCUGACUCUCCUUUUCUUUGCCCUUUGCUUUUACCUUUAUUUUAGUAUUUGUAAGCUACUUGCUCUCAUGAGAGAUUUCCUCCCUGAUACUAGCAGCUCCUUGAAGGUGAAGACUGUGCCAUAUUCAACUCUGCAUUCUCCACAGACCUGAAUAGGGUGCUUUGUACAAAGCAACUGCAAAAAGUACCCACUGCACAUACAGACUUGCAGACAUGGGCAUAUGUCUGUGUGUGGUCAGUGCCCAGCUCUGCAGACCCAAUGAAGUUUGGCAGUUGUGGGAGAGAUUGGGCUGGGUUUGGGGUCAGAUGGGGCUUGUCUAAGAAGAUUAGAUUACAGAGGAGUCCUGAGCAGUGUUUUGCAGAAGGAAAAGAGCUAUCCUGGCGAAUAAAUAACAGACCACAGGGGAACCAGUAUGUGAAAAUGCUGGAGGGCAGGAAUAGAGGAGCCCUUCGGAACUUGGUCUGCCUGGAAUGCCAAGUAUUAACUGAGAUGUUCAAUGCAUUUAAAGGGAAUAAAGGAUUAUUUUUAAACCCUCUCGUUCCAUUUACCCUUCUUCCUUCCAUGAAGGCUGCAUGGCAGAAUGGAAGGAAUUGAGGCUUUGGAGCUGAGUGGCCUCGUUAGAGAGCCCACUUG